UAUCCAGACUCCUACGGGAGGCAGCAGUGGGGGAUAUUGCACAAUGGGGGGAACCCUGAUGCAGCGACGCCGCGUGGGUGAAGAAGCGCCUCGGCGCGUAAAGCCCUGUCAGCAGGGAAGAAAAUGACGGUACCUGAAGAAGAAGCCCCGACUAACUACGUGCCAGCAGCCGCGGUAAUACGUAGGGGGCAAGCGUUAUCCGGAUUUACUGGAUGUAAAGGGGGCGCAGACGGCGAUGCAAGCCAGGAGUGAAAGCCCGGGGCCCAACCCCGGGACUGCUCUUGGAACUGCGUGGCUAGAGUGCAGGAGGGGCAGGCGGAAUUCCUAGUGUAGCGGUGAAAUGCGUAGAUAUUAGGAGGAACACCAGUGGCGAAGGCGGCCUACUGGACGGUGACUGACGCUGAGGCUCGAAAGCGUGGGGAGCAAACAGGAUUAGAUACCCUUGUAU
Molecule: ribosomal RNA, 448 nt
Filed under: uncultured bacterium
Lineage: Bacteria
Description: partial 16S ribosomal RNA
Rfam family: Bacterial small subunit ribosomal RNA
Source: RNAcentral